GGAGACAACACACCUGCUCGUCUUCGCAGGUGUUUUUCAAUCAGCUGAUGACCGCUGCUUCUUUGAAGAGAAGCUGCACGAGCCGUGGAAAAAAAAAAAGACGUGAAAAAAGUGUCUGCUUAACUACUGAAACUGUUCCGGGAAGAAGGAACUUGUGGCGUUAAUGCACCAACCGCGAUAAAACCUCAAAAAAUGAGGGAACUUUAAAAAACGAAGAGGAAAAAAAAGAAAACUACCGCGGCGUGACGUCAGACGCCGAAAAGGUGGCCGCGUGCAUCAGCUCCUUUUAUAAAAACGCAGCAAGGCGCUUUAGGAUGGCGUGUUCGACUUGGUCCAGAUUGGUGGCCCGUUUAGAAUGGAACAACCUGCUUCCUGUUCACGGAGACCUGGUCGGACCCGCCAUAUACAAAAGCCUGAGGCUGUCAAAAAAAGAUUGAUCUUCAUGAAGAUCAUCAAAUAGUAAGGUGUCAUGAUUUAAUAUUGGGUGGCCUCUGUGUCCCCACUCUUUCUUGGCCGCUGUGCCUACAUCUCUCUGCAUUGUCCAACAUGGCCACGUUCUUUCUAUUCUCCUGCUUUCCAUCUGUCAAAUAGCUGAGGGUUGUACAUGGAGCAUUUGCCACAGGUUGGUUUUGUAUGUUCCUGUCCACUUUAUUGGGUGGUCUGAUCUGGUCCUUGUUUAUAUUUUUGUGGAACUGCUGAGCAAGUGAUUUGAAAGAAUGAGGUGACUGAUGGAGGGUUUGAAAUUCUCUCUCUAAAUGAAUGGGUUGUGUGUGACUGAGAAUCCUGGAUUGAAUAGUUAAGAUGGUCUGAGAAUAUGAUUAUGUUCAGCAGUUCACAUUAAAGUAGAUAUGGUUUCUUGAAGGGCUUAGAUGAUUGAUAAGUUAUAAUGCACUAACAUUUCCUUUUUAGGUCCGUCUACAAAUGGUGAGUCCAUAUUUUUAUUUAUUUCUUCUCUGGGGGCUACCGUCUUGGCCCCCAUGUGUGGUAGGGUUUGCAGAGUAGGGGAAUAAACAAAAGAAACUUGUGUGUUGUUUUUUUUUUUAAAAGUGAAGGUACUUAGGUGUAGGCAACUGACUUGCUAGUCUGGCUGCCCACAGCUAACGAAUCACAUGCAAAGGUAAGAACACGCCUCUGUAUGUAGGCGUUUUCUUGCCUUGCCACUGUGCCCUUAAUCACUUUUUCUUUCCAACUGUUACACAGGCCGCGGGCCAUCGCUCUUCCGGCCGCCGUGUCGAUCUUUCCUGGCCCUCCUCGUGCCUUUCCUCACUUCUAAAAGGGAAAAAAAAUAUUAACUCGAACUGUUUUCUUUAGCACUAAAAUAUAGUGAUGUUGGAGGACCAGAUCUUAAAUGAGGUUUAAAUGGAUGUUGGUGUACAGUUAAAGCUAGAUGGUAGAAAUAAAAUGAAUGUUGUGCCUUGUACACUCUGUCACAAGGCUUAGACUUCUUGGCCGCUGUGCCUUUUUUUUUUUUUUUUCCUUUCCAUCGUGGCCAUUAAUCUACCGUUAGCCCUAGAACGUUAAAAUAGAUCCUGGUGAUCUACAAACACAGUACCUGGCUUUGGAUGGCAGCCCUGCCAUUGUCUUUGUAUGGCCAUACGUCCCUUAAUGCAAGUAGGCCAUGAUCGCUAACUGUGCCCGUGCCUUUGUGGUCUAUUUGUGUUAUUGUACGUCUGGCCUUGCGCGUAUAGUCAUUUAGGCAAACAUGGGUGCCUUCCGCGUCCAUGCACAGUAAGUGAACUAACCUGUACUUUUCUUUUAGCAUCAAUCAAGAGGAGCACCGACAUCCCUGCAUGUCCAUCUUAAUUAGAUUGCGUUUUAGUUUGAGGUAAAAUUUCAAAUGGUAAGUGCAGUUUUUCUUUCUUGCUUGGCCGCUGUGCCAUAACUAUACCUGCUCUGACCUCAAUCUUGAUUCUUCAUGGCCACUGUGUCAUGACUGUACUUGGUGUUUAUGCCAGUCUAUAAUUUCUGAUCUGUUUUUCCUACUAAGGUUUCGUGUGUGUGUGGUAUCCGUCCGUCUGUCCUGUGUGUCUGGUAUCCGUCUGUCUGUCCUGUGUGUCCGGUAUCCGUCUGUCCUGUGUCGAAUUUAGUCACUUUUAUAGUCUCAACUUGAUGAGUUGAACUGAUUUUAAAGUUGAUUGGUCUUGAGGCGUCUGAUUUCUGCAGGAAAUCAUGGUACCUUAUUUUGAAAUGGCUUUAAUUUAAAAAUGUAAUUUUGGUCUUGAAUCUCAGUUAUCAUAGUUGCAACUUGGACUGUUGACAAACGUGGAAGCUGAUGAAUCAUGUAGUAAAUGCAUCAAAGUUUACUGUAGCUUGUUUAAAGUUCUUUCAAAGUGCUGUAAAAAUGCAGUAAUUGAUUAUGAUGAGCUAGACCAGGUCUUCCUUUAUUCUCAACUGGUAAUUGCUUUGAUAAGAUAACUGGUUCCUGAUUUGAUAAUGAAGCUAAACUUUUGAUUUAUAUGCAAGUGUAGUCACAUUAGAUUGUAGGUGUUAUUCAGCCCAUGGAUAAUGUUAUAUAGUUUAAAUCUGGCAUUUGUUGGCACACUUUUGAUAUCCAUUUUAAGUCUUAAACUUUCAGUACUGCCUUUGUAGUCGCUAACUGAAAUCGUGUUCAAUAUUAAUGCUGACUUGUCUCACUCUGCCAAGUUUAUUUCCCUCUAAAGGAGUUGAACCUUUUUGUGUUCAUAGUCUUUUUGCGCGUUAUGUUGGGAGGCCUCCCAGCAGGGGGUUUAUAUCUUCCCCUGCAAAACUAUGCGUUACUCGCCUUAGGGAUGCAGGGCUAUCCUGCAUAGUUUCUUUCAAAAAUGAGAUUGUAGGUUGCAGGAUUAGAGCGCGUUUCUUUUCUUUAGGAGGACACAAACCUGGCAGAGAGACAACUCGGAUUAUUUAAGUGAAAGUUGCGCCAAAUGUUCAAACUUUUUAUCUAUCGAUACGACUUGAAAUAAAACCUUUGUGAGGUGAAUUCGGACAGAAAUCAGACAGAAUUUGGCUUCAUGUUAAAGACUGUUGUGCAAGUACCCUCUUGUAGCAGGAGUGAGCAGCUGCAGCUUUUUAAUUUAUUUUUCGUUAUUUGAUUUGUUUCUUGGAUUGACUUGGUGUCUGGAGCUUUGUGGUUAACAGUGAUCAUGUAAAUGUGUAAACACAAGUGGUCUUUUGCCUCUUAUUUGCGAAGCUGGCAGCUGGUUGAAAUGAUAGGACUUUAUGGCUUGCCCAAAGUGGGAUUUUUGAUAGAGCAUAGGGUUAACACCUCACCAUGCACUAGCUAUUUCAGCGAACAAGUGUCUGUAGACGGUUAUUACCCAUGACUUUCUUUCAAAUUUCACAAUUUAGGCAGCUUGUAGAGUCAUUAGGAAGAUGCUUAAUCCCAAUGUCUUGGUUGGUUGCAUGAGAAACUGCUAUCUCUUAGUUGUGUUGGUGAAGUUCCUCCUCUGAUUUUUGUAGACUUGCCCUAAAGUUUCUCUCCGCUUUAACUCUUGUUGAGCUAUGCAUUAAAUGAUUCCUCCAACUUGUCUACAUAUCAAUUUUUUUCUCCCUGCAGCCUUCCACCACCACUGCUGCUGUUGCAUCUGCUAAAGGUAGCCGUAUCCUGAUUCACUGCGUCUUCAUGUGUUGGGUAAGAAGUGUCAUUAGACUACUAACAAUGUAAACACCUUUUAAAUACUUGAUCUAAUUUACCCAAAUGGUUUGUCAGUUUAGUACAGAAAAUCAUUGUAUUUGACAUUCUUGGGGUCAGUAACUUGACCUCUAAAUGUUUGGGAAACCAUGCAAGAGAUCGCAAGCUCUCUGCAUGACCCAACAGCAUCGAUGUUUGAGUUAUUUAAUUGCUCAAUUUUUUUAAAUCAGUCAAGAUUUUAUGAGCUGGGUCUUCUUCACACAGCAGAGAACAAGGUAAAUUGAGUCGACUCGUAACAUGGUAAGGCAUUUCGUCCUUCCCCUUCUUCUCUGUGUGUGAGGAAAUCUGGCCACGGAUCCUGACUGAGUGGCAUACCGUGGCUGUGCAGUUUCCAAAAUCAGACAAGGAUCCAUCUGAUUUUGUGACUCGGCCUGUCAUGAUAUGCAUGUAUCUUCCUCCGAAACCAUCGAUUGGAAUGGACAGGUUUGUAGUGUAAAUCACAUCACUUGAGAUGGUGAAGCAUUUGUUUAAAUUGUGGUCAAGCAUUUUCAGGUGUCUGCUUUGUCAAUACUCUUGUGCCACAUCUUGCUAAACACACAAGAAGCUCUGAAUUGUGAAACUGCUGCCUCUUGCAGAUGUUACAACAGCAAUGGCUGUUGAAAGGUUGCAGGGAGUGAAAAUGAGAUCUGAGGACAGGAAAGUGGAAUUGAUUUCAUGCUUAGCAAAAUUAGGGUUUCAGCAAAGGACCUUUUUGUGGCGAGGCUACAGAAUCAGAAGGAACGUUUGUCUGGGCAACUGGGAGAGUUACAGUUUUUCAUGGAGCUGACCAAGACAUUGGGGUUAGCAUCAUCCCAAAUGGCUGGCAAAGAUUGCUUGUAACUGUCAGUGUAGGACAGGAAAGGCAGGUAUAGGUUAGGGAGGGCAUCGAUCGGUGAGCUCUGACUGGAUGUGAGGACCUGUCACACUUGACCAGAGAUGAAGGCUGCAGCACAUUCCUGGAUCAGAGGACUCCAUGUUGGACACCACGACCUGGAGAAGUCCCGUCCUGGACGGCUGUGGUGAUGACCUAGCCCAAGAUGAACCGACCCUUCUACGACGAGGACUUCGCCCAAGAUGAACCGACCUUUUCCACGGGAUGUCUUCAGAUGUUGGACCUUGCCAAACUGGUCACAUGCCUCAAUGGCUGCUACGUCACUCUGCCCAACAGGACAUGGUCAACAAGAUUUUUUGAUUUUUUUUUAAAUGGACUUUAUACCCCCCUGUCCCCACUGACCCAAAACCACACAUGACAAAACACUGUACAUGUGAUGCAUCACCACACUAAAAUACAGACACUGCUACUUUCAGCCUGUAAUGUUUGACGUUGAAAACUUGUAUUUAUUGCCUUCUUUAU
Solea solea (common sole) is the source of this 5003-nucleotide long non-coding RNA. RefSeq lists it as uncharacterized. The transcript is spliced from 5 exons. NCBI's taxonomy places the organism in Eukaryota, Metazoa, Chordata, Actinopteri, Pleuronectiformes, Soleidae. The record is from RefSeq and is a predicted model, not a curated record.